Molecule: transfer RNA, 76 nt
Filed under: Rhodocyclaceae bacterium
Lineage: Bacteria; Pseudomonadati; Pseudomonadota; Betaproteobacteria; Rhodocyclales; Rhodocyclaceae
Description: tRNA-Lys
Rfam family: tRNA
About the family: Transfer RNA (tRNA) molecules are approximately 80 nucleotides in length. Their secondary structure includes four short double-helical elements and three loops (D, anti-codon, and T loops).
Source: RNAcentral
GGGUCGUUAGCUCAGUUGGUAGAGCAGUGGACUUUUAAUCCAUUGGUCGCGUGUUCGAGCCACGCACGGCCUACCA